RNAcentral lists this ribosomal RNA (496 nucleotides) under uncultured bacterium. Its description in RNAcentral is "partial 16S ribosomal RNA". It matches the Rfam family "Bacterial small subunit ribosomal RNA", at positions 28 to 506 of the family's 1533-position model. The record is from RNAcentral.
GAUGAACGCUGGCGGCGUGCCUAAUACAUGCAAGUCGAGCGAACGGACGAGAAGCUUGCUUCUCUGAUGUUAGCGGCGGACGGGUGAGUAACACGUGGAUAACCUACCUAUAAGACUGGGAUAACUUCGGGAAACCGUAGCUAAUACCGGAUAAUAUUUUGAACCGCAUGGUUCAAAAGUGAAAGACGGUCUUGCUGUCACUUAUAGAUGGAUCCGCGCUGCAUUAGCUAGUUGGUAAGGUAACGGCUUACCAAGGCAACGAUGCAUAGCCGACCUGAGAGGGUGAUCGGCCACACUGGAACUGAGACACGGUCCAGGCUCCUACGGGAGGCAGCAGUAGGGAAUCUUCCGCAAUGGGCGAAAGCCUGACGGAGCAACGCCGCGUGAGUGAUGAAGGUCUUCGGAUCGUAAAACUCUGUUAUUAGGGAAGAACAUAUGUGUAAGUAACUGUGCACAUCUUGACGGGACCUAAUCAGAAAGCCACGGCUAACUACGU